Molecule: ribosomal RNA, 755 nt
Filed under: uncultured Planctomycetales bacterium
Lineage: Bacteria; Pseudomonadati; Planctomycetota; Planctomycetia; Planctomycetales
Description: bacterial SSU rRNA
Rfam family: Bacterial small subunit ribosomal RNA
Source: RNAcentral
AUAGUUUGAUUAUGGCUCAGAAUGAACGUUGGCGGCGUGGAUUAGGCAUGCAAGUCGAGCGAGAAGCCUCCUUCGGGGGGUGGACAGCGGCGAAAGGGAGAGUAACGCGUGGAUCAUCUGCCCUCGGGUUCGGGAUAGCUGCGGGAAACUGCAGGUAAUACCGGAUAACGUCUCCGGACCAAAGGUGCGAUUCCGCCUGGGGAUGAGUCCGCGUCCUACUAGCUUGUUGGUGGGGUAAUGGCCUACCAAGGCUGUGAUGGGUAGCGGGUGUGAGAGCAUGGCCCGUCUCACUGGGACUGAGACACUGCCCAGACACCUACGGGUGGCUGCAGUCGAGAAUCUUCCGCAAUGGACGCAAGUCUGACGGAGCGACGCCGCGUGCGGGAUGAAGGCCUUCGGGUUGUAAACCGCUGUCAGUUGGGAGGAAAUGCAUAGGGGUUCUCUCCUAUGUUUGACCGAUCUUCAGAGGAAGUCCGGGCUAAGUUCGUGCCAGCAGCCGCGGUAAGACGAACCGGACGAACGUUAUUCGGAAUUACUGGGCUUAAAGAGUGCGUAGGCGGCUUUGUAGGUUGGGUGUGAAAUCCCACGGCUCAACCGUGGAACUGCGCUCAAAACCACAAAGCUUGAGGGAGGCAGAGGUAAGCGGAACUGAUGGUGGAGCGGUGAAAUGCGUUGAUAUCAUCAGGAACACCAGUGGCGAAGGCGGCUUACUGGGCCUCUUCUGACGCUGAGGCACGAAAGCUAGGGUAGCGAAC